RNAcentral lists this ribosomal RNA (454 nucleotides) under uncultured Variovorax sp. RNAcentral's name for it is "bacterial SSU rRNA". It matches the Rfam family "Bacterial small subunit ribosomal RNA", at positions 923 to 1382 of the family's 1533-position model. The record is from RNAcentral. Lineage: Bacteria; Pseudomonadati; Pseudomonadota; Betaproteobacteria; Burkholderiales; Comamonadaceae.
GCACAAGCGGUGGAUGAUGUGGUUUAAUUCGAUGCAACGCGAAAACCUUACCCACCUUUGACAUGUACGGAAUCCUCUAGAGAUAGAGGAGUGCUCGAAAGAGAGCCGUAACACAGGUGCUGCAUGGCUGUCGUCAGCUCGUGUCGUGAGAUGUUGGGUUAAGUCCCGCAACGAGCGCAACCCUUGUCAUUAGUUGCUACGAAAGGGCACUCUAAUGAGACUGCCGGUGACAAACCGGAGGAAGGUGGGGAUGACGUCAAGUCCUCAUGGCCUUUAUGACCAGGGCUACACACGUACUACAAUGGCCGGUACAAAGGGCAGCGACACAGCGAUGUGAAGCGAAUCCCGAAAAGCCGGUCUCAGUCCGGAUUGGAGUCUGCAACUCGACUCCAUGAAGUUGGAAUCGCUAGUAAUCGCGGAUCAGCACGCCGCGGUGAAUACGUUCCCGGGCCUU